Molecule: long non-coding RNA, 396 nt
Filed under: Homo sapiens (human)
Lineage: Eukaryota; Metazoa; Chordata; Mammalia; Primates; Hominidae
Description: HSALNT0352213
Source: RNAcentral
CCCAAAGUGCUGGAGUUACAGAUGUGAGCCUCUGUGCUCAGCCCAUCCUUGGCUGUUCAAGUGUAGAGAAAUAAAAACAUCAGUAGGAGGGGAAGGAGGAAGGAAGGAGAAGAAAGAGGAAGAAUAGGAGGAGAAGAGGAAGAGAGGAAGAAGUCGUGAACAGCCCUCCUGCAUUUUGCAUCAGGUAGAAAAGUCAGUUGAAUGUUGGGAAGAACACAAAUAGUCCCCACCCUUGCUACACUGUGGAUGCUUUCCUUACCCUGCUGGUUUCUGAAUGCUCUGCCACGGUCCUGGGCCUCCCCACUUACCCAGCAUGGAUGCCUAAGCUGAACUGAAUGACCUUGGACUGAAUUGUUCAAAAAGAGAAGGGGAGAGGAAGAGGAAGAAGAACGCCAA